RNAcentral lists this ribosomal RNA (255 nucleotides) under Staphylococcus aureus. RNAcentral's name for it is "partial 23S ribosomal RNA". It matches the Rfam family "Bacterial large subunit ribosomal RNA", at positions 2106 to 2360 of the family's 2925-position model. Lineage: Bacteria; Bacillati; Bacillota; Bacilli; Caryophanales; Staphylococcaceae. The record is from RNAcentral.
GUAGCCUGAUAUUGAAAUUCGGCACAGCUUGUACAGGAUAGGUAGGAGCCUUUGAAACGUGAGCGCUAGCUUACGUGGAGGCGCUGGUGGGAUACUACCCUAGCUGUGUUGGCUUUCUAACCCGCACCACUUAUCGUGGUGGGAGACAGUGUCAGGCGGGCAGUUUGACUGGGGCGGUCGCCUCCUAAAAGGUAACGGAGGCGCUCAAAGGUUCCCUCAGAAUGGUUGGAAAUCAUUCAUAGAGUGUAAAGGCAU